This 852-nucleotide ribosomal RNA is filed under the name uncultured bacterium. Its description in RNAcentral is "bacterial SSU rRNA". It matches the Rfam family "Bacterial small subunit ribosomal RNA", at positions 1 to 829 of the family's 1533-position model. The record is from RNAcentral.
UUCUAGAGUUUGAUAUGGCUCAGGACGAACGCUGGCGGCGUGCCUAAUACAUGCAAGUCGAACGCUUCUUUCCUCCCGAGUGCUUGCACUCAAUUGGAAAGAGGAGUGGCGGACGGGUGAGUAACACGUGGGUAACCUACCCAUCAGAGGGGGAUAACACUUGGAAACAGGUGCUAAUACCGCAUAACAGUUUAUGCCGCAUGGCAUAAGAGUGAAAGGCGCUUUCGGGUGUCGCUGAUGGAUGGACCCGCGGUGCAUUAGCUAGUUGGUGAGGUAACGGCUCACCAAGGCCACGAUGCAUAGCCGACCUGAGAGGGUGAUCGGCCACACUGGGACUGAGACACGGCCCAGACUCCUACGGGAGGCAGCAGUAGGGAAUCUUCGGCAAUGGACGAAAGUCUGACCGAGCAACGCCGCGUGAGUGAAGAAGGUUUUCGGAUCGUAAAACUCUGUUGUUAGAGAAGAACAAGGACGUUAGUAACUGAACGUCCCCUGACGGUAUCUAACCAGAAAGCCACGGCUAACUACGUGCCAGCAGCCGCGGUAAUACGUAGGUGGCAAGCGUUGUCCGGAUUUAUUGGGCGUAAAGCGAGCGCAGGCGGUUUCUUAAGUCUGAUGUGAAAGCCCCCGGCUCAACCGGGGAGGGUCAUUGGAAACUGGGAGACUUGAGUGCAGAAGAGGAGAGUGGAAUUCCAUGUGUAGCGGUGAAAUGCGUAAAUAUAUGGAGGAACACCAGUGGCGAAGGCGGCUCUCUGGUCUGUAACUGACGCUGAGGCUCAAAAGCGGGGGGAGCAAACAGGAUUAAAUACCCUGGUAUUCACGCCGUAAACGAUGCGCGUUAAAUCGACCGCC